AGAACUGCUGUUCAGGGUGGCUCCUCAGUUUGUUGUUUUUUGAGAGCUAAUCUGAAGCUGUCUCCAUUCUGAAUAAAGCUGUUGCGAGCAAUGUGUGCUGGUGUUUGCUCCCUGCUUGGUCUGGCUAAUGAGUAACGGGAUCCAUGGGCAGUUGGACCGUCGUCUCCCUAGUUGUUGGGCGUCACACGAAGUCGGGGUCUAACAAUUCCUUAGACCAAGAGAUGGCAACCUAUGGCCGUGGAGCCACUGGGUGCAGCCUGUGGAACUGGAGCUUUGACAGCAUUCAGUGGCAAAAGAUGGGGGUAAAGUGGACGGGGGCUGGGACCCACGGAAAACCCACCUAGGACCCCAGCUGAGUCAUUCUGGCCUGCCACUGGAUAUUGGCGUUAGAGAAUGUGUGCAUGUAUUCCAAACAGCAUAGCUAGUUUAAUUACAAAAUAUGAAUUCCAUGACAAUUCUCACUAAAAAUACUCUUGUAGGAGAAGUUUCUAAAACCAUGUAAAUAUGUGCAGCAAGCCAUCACUGAAAGAAAAAAGAAUUGGCAAGAUUUCUUGUUGCUAUUCUAGUGCUAGGCUUUUAUAAUGGAGUAAGUUUUAGUUAAUUUUAGAAGCCUGUGAACACUUUCUUAUUCUUAUGCAGUCUUCUAAUUCACCUUAUUGACUGUAAGUGUCAGAACUUGUGUGUGCGUAUGUAUGAUUUAUUUUACAUGGUGGGUUUUUCCCUUGGAAAAAAUGCUAUUCUCUUUUUCCUGUCUACUGUGGAAUGAAGACAUUAUGGAUAUGUGUGCUGCAUAUGGUUCAUGUGCAUGUGCUGCAUUAAAGUGGCAAAAAGUAUUUAAGUUCAUUCUCUGAAUAUCUACAUAAUUCAGCUAUUACUGAGUAUUAGUUGGGAAUCAAAACUCCAGUAUUCUGAGUAAGUGUAUCAAGAGCUGCAGGAAAGAAUACCGUAAUAAUGCUGAGAACUGUGUUUGUAUUCAUGAAGACACACCCCCUUACCCCAAUUCUCAGUGUGUGAAAUGAAAAAGGAAUUCUGGCACAAGGCAAAUGCAAUGGAUAAUGCAGCUCCUUGCUCUGCAAGCCACUUGUGGCCAGUGGAACCAUUACGAUGCUGCUCAGUGAAACAAACCUGCAGACACAUGUGAGAAGCCCAGAUAAGGGAUAUGCUCACUGCGUGGACCUGUGUUUUCUAACAGUGGCUUGUACCUCUCACAAAAAGGACACAAGGAGAUGGAUUCCGCAAGAGUAUUCAGGACUAUACUAGGUCCUUCUCUCUCACCCCCUCCCUCCCAAACACGCUGUCCCUGCUUGUGGAAGGACAUGGGUGUUAUACAAAUAGACUUUUUGCCUAUUGCUUUUAACUUUAUGUAUUUUCUUGAGUUUUGCAUUGCCUUAAGAAACUCCAUUUUGUAUUGCACUGUAGCUUGACAUAAGUGUUUGACCUUUUUAUUCUUUUGUAUCCUGUAUGGGUGAGAGUGUGUUUGUGGAAAAGGAAAACAUCAGCUGGUGACUGGCUGAAGACUUCAGACAGAUAAAAGACCAAAAACAGGAAGAAUCUGCCUCUGAACAGAAAGAGAACAUUGGCAAUUGCCAUUCAAGGAAGAACACAGUGAUAAUAUAGCAAAAGCCCAGAGGACUGGGUGAAUUGACAGGGCUAUAAGAGAUGAGGCAAGACAUACUGAUUUUGGGUCUUGUUCUGCAUGUCAUCCUUGCAGCACUCUGACAAGAUGGACCAGAAGGAGUCCGGAUCCUACUCGUGAUCAACUUGGCUGGCCACUAAGUUGAUCUGAGCACCAAUAAAACUGGUCUCACUUGUGAUUUGAGCAAUUGGCAACAUGGAGACCACAGAGCUCUAGCAGUCCUGAGGACCAUGCUGACCACUACACUGCCUGGUGGUGGAAGGACUGCAUUGGAAUGAGGUCUACUGGCCUCUGAUUGCUACCAGAAAGCACUGUCAGAUUCAAGUCAAUGUGGAAAUUACCAUCACUGGACCAGUUUACAUUAGGGUUAGGGACAGAAGUUACACAUAAACCAGUUUAACUGACCAGAAACUGGUUUAAACCUGUAACAAAGCAGAAGCUCAGUGCACAUAAAUCAGUAUCAAAAUGGCUGGAACUGGAUUAAGAUAGACCUGGUUGAAUGUAAUAUCAGACUUAGCUGAUUUGGGUCAAACUGGUUUAUGAAACUUCUGUCCCAGGCCCCUUCCUGGUUCAAGUUAAAUCACAGGCCACCAGCAUCCUAGCAUUUUUGUAGCCGUGGGCUGGGCUAUGUUGUCUGCUCCAUAGAGCAAGGCUGGCCCUGCCCAUAUGCUGCCUAGCUGAAGAAGUGAGAGCUGGCUGACAAGGGGGUUGUUGGGGGACACAAACCCAGCUGGGGAUGUAGCCCAGUCUGGGAGGGGGGCAGGGGGGGCUGAUCCCCUGAAAGACAAACCCUGAUUGGGGUCUGGGCCAGGGAGAGGGGCUAAACACCCCAUUCCCCUGCUCAAACUUACUGCUGGCCGCAACUGUGACAAAUCCCAGAGGCACCUGGAAGCAAGAAGAGGAAGUAAUGAGCAACCCUGCAAAGUCCU
This is a long non-coding RNA of Alligator sinensis (Chinese alligator), 2565 nucleotides long. RefSeq lists it as uncharacterized. NCBI's taxonomy places the organism in Eukaryota, Metazoa, Chordata, Crocodylia, Alligatoridae. The record is from RefSeq and is a predicted model, not a curated record. The transcript is spliced from 3 exons.